This 15538-nucleotide long non-coding RNA is filed under the name Malus domestica (apple). Its description in RNAcentral is "long non-coding RNA (MDOM_LNC003389)". Lineage: Eukaryota; Viridiplantae; Streptophyta; Magnoliopsida; Rosales; Rosaceae. The record is from RNAcentral.
UAGUUGAUCUUGGGGUCGGGGGCCGUACACUUGGACGAGGACGAGUCCGAUGUUCGGAGUUGACUCGGCAAGAGAAUCGGCGCCUGGGCUUUGGCCAAGGGCAGCUCUUUGGACAAGGAGAUUAGGAAAGGAAUCCAGAGGUAGCUCCACAUCUCUGCCCUGCCGGUGUGGUUUUUGGUGAGACGGCAGCGGUUUGGACGUCGGAGGGGUCGGGUGUUGGGGUGGACGUGGAAUGAGUGAGGAAGCUGGAGGGCAUUUAGGGGAAGAACUGCCUAGGAAGUGUUUUAGUAGCAAUCUGGAUAAGAGGAGGAAGGGGAGGAAGGUGGUAUGACAUUGACUGGUGAUUGUUACGUGAAAGGAAGCCAACAAAAACGUUGUCAUGUCUUACACUUAAUUUUUUCUUUACUUCGAACUAAUUCAAAUUAUAAAGAGUAUUCGAACUUUGAGGGUAUAUGAAUAACAUAUCCAUUUUGGCUAGUUUGGUUAAAUUAAACUCACAUUUGAAUGUAAUACUUGAUCAUUUUUCCCUUAUUAUUCUUUGGUUUAGAAGUGGGAACAAUUAAGUUCGAUUUGAUUCCUCGUAAACUUGAAAACUACAUUGUUAAAUAUGUUUGGUUUGGUUAUGCUUAGUUUAGUCUGGUUUCAUUCAAGAUUUUCACGUAAGCAAAAUAAGACAAAAGUAUUUACAACAAAAACUUUCCUUUCUCUCUUCCUGAGAGACCUUCCCUCUGUGUGAGGGUUAAUAUCACCGAUCUGUGUGAGUGGUUCCCAAUCGAGUCCAAUUCCGGUGCCGCCUAGGAUCGGUGGGUUUUCUUUUGUUUCUUUCUCCAUCUCUUUCUCCUCUUCCAUCCGCUGUUUUCUUCCCUGAUUUUCUUGGUUGAUUUGCCUUCUUCUCUCCCCUUCGCUGUCUCUCAUCCAUAUUCAUCCAAUUUUCAAGCUUCAGUCACCUUUUGCCGCGAUUUGUUGUGGUGUUUCGAGUUGGUGUGCUUUGAUCUGGUGCUUGCACUGGGUCAGGUGUUCCUUGCACCCCACCUUCUCUUUGUUGUCUGUCCUUGUUGGCAGUGUUGCUCGUGGACUGCCAUGAGCUUCUUUCACUUGUCUGCAGGUUCUCUGGUGUUUGUAGCUGGGCUUGGAGUGAAGCUUGGAAUUGGCCGUUGGUAUCAGACAGGGCCCCAAAUUCAAUCAAACAACAUCAUCAAGCUAAACCCAUAAAAGCCUACUACUCAAAGAGAGCCUAACUUCGUUAGAAACCCUAAUUCGAAGAUGCUCUUAAAGAGCCUAAUUUGGCCAUCUAAUCAUCAAUAAUUUGGAGUCAUUUAUUACUGGAUUUGACAUCAAUAGUAGAGAAUAAACAAAUUUUCCUUUAAUAUUUCGGAGGAUGAAUCUGCGGAGAUGUUUGAGUGGUGAAUUGAUUAAAUUAUUAAGUUUUGUAGUUUGAUUUUUUUUUUUAGUCAAAGGUUACUAUUGUGAACACGAAAAUUUUCUGAAACGAAAGAGACAAGAACAACGUGCACAAAAUAAUAUUUGUAUUUUUGAUGAUUUUGGGUUACAAUCUCUCUCAAAUUUGAUCAUCUGAUUCGAUCUCCGUAAGGUAUUGAUUUGUGGAUGUUUCGUUGAUCCAAGGGCCAUCGAGGCUUGAUCUUGGAUGAACUGUUGGAAGUUUCUUCAAGGGGCCGUGGGCUUGAUCUUUGAAGGUGGAUUUGAGCGGAUCUUCAAGGAGCCGUUGGGGCUUGAUCUUGAGGAUGAGUGUUUCUUCAAGGGCCGUUGAGGCUUGAUCUUGAAUAAUGGUGAUGAACGGGUCUUCAAGGGCUUUUGGGCUUGAUCUUGAAGAACAGUGAUGAACGGAUCUUCAAGGGCUUUUGGGCUUAAUCUUGAAGAACGGUUGGAUGUGUGGAUUUGUCAACGUUGUUGAUCCAAAGGGCCGUUGGGGCUUGAUCUUGGAUGAACGGAUGAUGAACGAUGGUGCUUUCUUCAAGGGCCGUCGGGGCUUGAUCUUGAAUUGGUGGAAGUUCUUCAAGGGGGCCUUUGGGGCUUGAUCUUGGAAGAACGAUGAACGAAGAACGAAGAACACUUUCUUCAAGGGCCGUCGGGGCUUGAUCUUGAAUUGGUGGAUGAUUGUUAAUCCAAGGGCCGUCGGGGCUUGAUCUUGGAGAACGAUGAACGAAGAACGAAGAACGCUUUCUUGAUUCUUCAGGAACCUGGAUGCUUGAGAGCUUCGGAGUUUCAGAGCUUCAGAGCUUCAAGAAUUUUGCCUAAUGAUUUUGGUUCCUCUCAAAUGAAUGAAAUUGGCUUCUAUUUAUAGAAUUUUCUAAGGCCUAAUUUUGAAUAUAAUAUUCCAGAUGAAAUAAGUCGUUUCUGCCAGGUGUUGACACGUGUCCUGUUUGAUGACUUUUCCGAUGAUUCUCGAUUUUUUGUUUAGACACACGCUACGUGUAAAAUUUAUGUAAUACAUGAACGCUGAAACUUUGAUUUAUCGGUCAACAUUUAUUUACUGAAAUUUCAAUGUCUACAACUAUAUUACCACAACACAAUUAAUUACACAAAUUGAGGUCCAUAUACAAGAAAAAAAUAGACCUCAAUAGUAACCCAAAUACCCAAAACAAAAAAAACACAGAAGUUAACCCUAACUGCUUUCCUUUAACGGCAUCGUCGAAUGCACCGAUCGCGACGAUCAGGAGCCUACACCACCAACUUUCGCCAAGAACCCACAUCUCAAAGAUGGAAAUAAGAUGAAUUUCGCCUUCCAACAUAUACCAUCUCACUGAUCGUAGCCAUUGAUUGAGAGAAACCAAAGAAGCCCGUGGGAUCGCCACGGACAACAUUGCCAGAAAUGGUAGACAAAGAGAAGAAGGUGGUGUUGCCACCCAAGCUGGUGAAAACUCCGGAUCUCUACGCACCUUCUCAGUUGAAGACCGCAUCACUUCACGGUUAAAAUUGAUUACAAAUUGGAAUGGAGAUUGAGUUGGUGAAAGCCAAAAUAAGAACAUGUCUAUGGAUGGAUGGAAGAUCUGAUAUGAGGGCAACAGAUGUACCUGUGAAAAUCGAGGUGAAUAUGGAAAUCAAAAUAGGAAGGAAAGCAAGAAAAACACCAGAAGUAGAAGAAAGAGGAAACAAAGGAAGAAGGAAGGGCUGCCACCGACCCUAAUCAGAAUUAGGGCCGGCAACAAAGGAAAAUCUCAAGUGUUGCUGCUGCUCUCACUCAUGGAGAGAAUUAUAAUUUUAGGUUAAAACCCUUCAAAUUCGGAUCGUGUUCACCCCUAAACCCAAACAAGAAUAAAUAGAACACAAUUAUAAAUUCAUUAUAUGUUUCAGUUACUGAAAGUCAUUUUAAUAUUAAAUUACAACACGAGGUAUAAAUUAUGUAUAUUGUAAUGUCAUUGCGUCAAUAUAUCAAAUGUAUACAAGAUUUUCCGUAGAGCAAUUUUUUUUUUAUCUAGAAUUUCACUCCAACAAAAAAAUACAGAAUUCAGAGUAUGACAAGCUUUUUAGUGAGUAGUCAUGCGCGUAUGUUUAUCACUUCAUGUAUAACAUCGAAGUCAAAUUAUGUACAGAAGUAAUUAGUACAUAAAGCGUAAGUCUUCUGUUUUGUAGCUAAUCUUCAACUAUGAAAUAGAACUCGUCACAAAAAAAAAAAAAAAAAAAAAAAAAAAAACUAUGAAAUAGAACCACGUGAUCAGCAAUUUGUUAAAAUAAAAUUACCCAAAUUUUUAUGUUUAGGGUUUCUGGGUGUUGGUUUUCAAGCUGCCUAAGUUUGACUAGGUGGAAGAAACCAGUAUACACAAAAAAGAAACUAUUUAAUUACGUCCUUGCUAUUACAUAACUUACAUUAGGAUUAAAAUACGUAACGUAAUUCACAAGUCUAUGUUUAACUACUAAUGUACUCUUACGAUAAUUAACCGGUGAUAUUAUUCAUAUACCAAAAAUCAACCAAUAAAUUUAAGUAGUUACAGUGACAAAUCAUUUUCAUCUUCUUUUUAUGCUUUAUGGAAAAGAUUCCAAUGAAUAUAAGGUCAAACUAUUAAGUAAUCCUUACUGAGCAGUAAUCAGCAUCUAGUAGAUUAAUCAGACUUGCAAAGUUGCAGUACAGUAAAGGCAUUGGAACUUCUUACUCUUGAUAUUCAGAAAAAAUAAAGCAUACUGUUGAUGCACAAAAUCAGUGAGGACUUUGGUAUAAUAGAAAGUGUUAAGUUUAUGACCUUCGUUAGAUUGCUCCGGUCACUAGUGUGGACAAGUAUGUAAAUGGAUAGGGACAGGGAAGCAAACACAAGAUGUACGUGGUUCACCCAGAUUGACUACGUCCACGUAGUAGAGGAGUUCUCAUUAAUUGUGAAAGGUUUACACAAGUACAUAGGUUCAAGCUCUCCUUUAGUGAGUACUAGUGAAUGAUUUAAUACAAAUGACAUUCAGAAAUAUUGUGAGAGAAUGAUCUCUAUUCAUAGAAGAGAGUUUCUAGUUUCAUUCUGACAUUGAUACGUGUCGUGUUGUGAUUGGCUUCUGAUGUCGACACGUGUCGCGCUGUGAUUGGCCUUCUGGUUGGAAGGAAACUCUUAUGGGUCCUUGACGGUAUAACGUUGACCGGUGCUCAGCUUUUGUUGAAAAUUGUAGUUACCCUCCAUUGAUGAAGCUUUUGUUGGCACCAUAAAUUGGUUUUGCUUCACACUUUCUUGAUCAAGAGUGUGUGAAGCUUUUGAGAAUUGUGGUUGAACUUCUUUGAUGAAGCUUUUGUUGGCACCAUAAAUUGGUUUUGCUUCACACUGUCUUGAUCAAGAGUGUGUGAAGCUUUUAAGAAUUGUGGUUGCACUCUAUUGAUGAAGCUCUUGUUGGCACCAUAAAUUGGUUUUGCUUCACACUGUUUUGAUCAAGAGUGUGUGAAGCUUUUGAGAAUUGUGGUUGAACUCCUUUGAUGAAGCUUUUGUUGGCACCAUAAAUUGAUUUUGUUUUACAUUGUCUUGAUUAAGAGUGUGUGAAGCUUUUGAGAAUUGUGGUUGCCCUCCAUUGAUGAAGCUCUUGUUGGCACCAUAAAUUGGUUUUGCUUCACACUGUCUUGAUCAAGAGUGUGAAGCUUUCUACGAGUUGUAGUGUUUGCAUUGUUACAGAGGGAAAAUGUCUGAAGUAGAUGCAAGAGGGCUGAAUAGCUUGAUCUUCGUACACCAUGCACUGAAGUUGUUGUUGGCUUGCAAUAAGACUUUGUUGGUGACUAUAACUCUUGUUGGGAAUAAGUGUUCUCCUAGUUGAGUUGUCAAGCUUAAGGGUUUUUGAUUAUUUGUGAAUGCUAGGAGUUCACAUGUACAAGUUGUACCACUCGUCUUCUGGUAGGUGGAAUGAAUGGUGAGUUGCUUUCAUCACUUGGUUGGUGGUACGAAGGUGAGUUCUUUCAUCACCUUUCAUCACCUGGUUGGUGGCAUGAAUGGCAAGUUGCCAAAUAAUAUUAGAGUAUGGGUUGUACAUUUCAUCACCUGGUUGGUGGCAUGAAAGAGAGUACGGGUUAUACACAUCACCUGGUUGGUGGCAUGAUGAUGAGUUCCUUCUUCACUUGGUUGGUGGCAUGAGUGACAAGUUGUCAAAUGAUAUUAGAGUACUGGUUGUACAUUUCAUCACCUGGUUUGUGGCAUGAAGGAGAGUACGGGUUGUACAUUUCAUCACCUAGUUGGUGGCAUGAGUGGCAAGUUGCCAAAUGAUAUUAGAGUACGGGUUGUACAUUUCAUCACAUGGUUGGUGGCAUGAAGAAGAGUACGAGUUGUACAUUUCAUCACCUGGUUGGUGGCACGAAGAUGAGCUCAUUCUUCACCUGGUUGGUGGCAUGAAUGGCAAGUUGCCAAAUGAUAUUAGAGUACGGGUUGUAUAUUUCAUCACCUGGUUGGUGGCAUGAAGAAGAGUACGGGUUGUACAUUUCAUCACCUGGUUGGUGGCAUGAAGAUGAGUUUCUUCUUCACCUGGUUGGUGACAUGAGUGGCAAGUUGCCAAAUGAUAUUAGAGUACGGGUUGUACAUUUCAUCAUCUGGUUGGUGGCAUGAAGGAGAGUACGAGUUGUACAUUUCAUCACCUGGUUGGUGGCAUGAAGAUGAGUUCCUUCUUCACAUUUCAUCACCUGGUUGGUGAGAAUAAGGGUAAGGUGUCAAGGCACAUUGUAGCAAGUGUCAAAGACACAAAGUAUGUUGAACCCUUUCGAAGCACAGUUGGCUUAUGUAUGGAUGUGUUGGAAUGUAUGAUGUUUAUGUUGAAUGUAUGUAUGAUGUAUAUGUAUGGAAUGUAUGAUGUUUAUGUAUGAAUGUGUUGGAAUGUAUAAUGUUUAUGUCGAUUGAUAUGAGUGAUGCUUAUGAAUGUUUUGCUAUGCAUGAAGGGAUCCAUGCUUUUGAUAUGUGAGCCAUGUUGGUUGUAACACUUAGUAUCACAUACUUUAUGUUAAAGUAUGCAUGUUGAAGCUCUGAGUUGGAGUAUAAGGGUAGGUCAGCGUAGACCAAGUGUUUUAGUGCUAGGAAUGCAAAAGACUCAGAAGAAGUUGUCUGAAUUCCCUCUUCUUUAAAUAUUUGCCGAAUAGCUUGUGUGACAAAAGAUCUCAAGCGGUUGAGAGUCAAAACAUUUGUAAUGUGUAUGCCUUCUUAUAAUAGCAUUUCCUUCAGUACCUAGUCCUCCACUUUGAAAGAGUGAGGCUUGGCCCCAUAGUCAUAAUAGUCGAUUGUACGUUCACCCCUGGUUAUCUUGAUACGAACUUUUAUCCCUCUUGUUGUAAUGGGCUUGCUAAGAAUAAACAUCCUUCCUCUUACCAAGAGACAUAUAUGUUUGGUGACUUAACAAGUAGCUAAAUGAGGCAUGAGAUGAUGCAAUAGGUGUCUGAAUGGCCAAUAUCUCCUCACUUGGUAGAACUUGACUUCCACUUCCCAUUUAUUGAUAGGGGUUAACCAUAUCGGGGUUCCCUUGGUAUGUCCUUACUUCGGCGGAGGCAUGGUUGUAAGCAUGUGCCAUCACCUUAGAGUAAGUCUUCCAAGUGUUGGCAUUGAUCAUGUACUUGAAGAAACAAUCAUGUAGGCCUGCCGUGAAGGCCUUGAGGGCGGUCUUGUCAUCUGCCUCAGCGCAGUGAGAAUACUCAUGGCUGAAGCGACCGGCAUACUCUCGUAGUGACUCGUCCGGCUUCUGACGAAUAGUAUACAAGUCAUCUGCAUAAUACAAGUGAUCGGUCUGGAAGAUCUGUUGAGAGACAAACAAUUUCCUCAAUUCCUCAAAUGAGUCUACUGUCUUAGGUGGAAAACGACAAUACCAGUUUAGAGCUUCGCCAGAGAGGGUGGAGGGGAAGAGAAGCCAUCGCUCUUCGUCGGUGUGCAUCCGAUAUGCCAUGGUAGACUUAAAGAGGUUAAGGUGUUCAAUUGGGUCCUCAUUUCCAGUAUAGAGUUGUAGUCCAAGCUUUUGUUUUGUCUUCGCUUGAAGAGGGGUGUCGAGGAUCCUUCUUGUGAGAGGGCCAGGCCUGGGUUGGUUCCAGUCAGGUAUCCCGGCCUGAUGUUCAGCCUUCAACUUGUUUACUUCCUAAAGGAGCUGUAGGACAAGGGGGUCCUAAGUGGAGUCAUGUAUCACUGAAAUUUUCUUUUGUAAGUUUCCAUCGCCUCUUGGAAGUAGGAAAGUUUGAGCAAGGGCGUGUGUUUUUUUCUUGGACUCGUUGUACUGACUUCUAGGGCGAGUCUGUCGGAAUACCUCAGAGUCCCCCGUACCUUCAUGUUCUUUUGAGACCUAUCGUUCCUUCCUUAGAUUGGUAGCUGGCCUGGGUCUUGGGAGGGGACUGAGUAUUUCAGAAACCCUUGGGUCAUUGAUCUUCGAUCAUAUGUGGAUGAGAUUCUCUCGAUGUUGCUUUAGGAAGUCUCGGCAAUCACGAUAAACGGCUUUCGAUCAUUCCAACCCUUCUGCAAGGAGGUGUCUUCCUCCACUUCUUCUACUUCGGGUCGAAGCAUUUGGGUUGAGAGAAGUCUCAUGUUGAUCAAUGUUUUGAUGAUUAGCUCGCUCCUCAUCAGGGACACCCAUGUUGAAGGAAGGUGACCCUCCGUGUUGGGGGGCACCCAGAUGAUGGUUGAUGUCCACAUGGGCAAUAAGCUCGCGUGUUUGAGUACGCCUAGUUUCGUGGAGCGUCUCAAAGAGCUUCUCAUACUGCUCGUGGAGGACCUCAUUCUUCAUUGCUAUCUUGUUGUUCUGAGCUUCUAGCUCAUCGACUUUAGCUUGAAGAGCAACCCUCUUUCCUUCCUUUUUUCGUUGCUUCGCACUAGGUGCAAGAAGGGUGUCAUUCUGUGUGCUGUGGCUUCCUUCACUCCCUAUGUUGGAGAGGGAUGUCUGGUCAAAAGAGAGUGUACGAAUGGUGGAAACCAGCUUGGCAAAGUUGAAGAGAGUGGGAAUAAGUGUCGUUCCCAUAGACGAUGCCAAAUGUUGAUGCACAAAAUCAGUGAGGACUUUGGUACAACAGAAAGUGUUAAGUUUAUGACCUUCGUUAGAUUGCUUCGGUCACUAGUGUGGACAAGUAUGUAAAUGGAUAGGGACAGGGAAGCAAACACAAGAUGUACGUGGUUCACCCAGAUUAGCUACGUCCACGGAGUAGAUGAGUUCUCAUUAAUUGUGAAGGGUUUACACAAGUACAUAGGUUCAAGCUCUCCUUUAGUGAGUACUAGUGAAUGAUUUAGUACAAAUGACAUUUGGAAAUAUUCUGAUGUCGACACGUGUCGUGCUGUAAUUGGCCUUCUGAUUGGAAGGAAACUCUUCUGGGUCCUUGAUGGUAUAACGUUGACCAGUACUCAAUAGUUUCGGGAUUGGUCAAGUAUGGUACAAACACAAACCUUUUAUUUAUAUGAGUAAAACAGAACGAAAUAUACCUGUUAUCUCUCAAGCAAUUCUCAACCAUAGGAGCCUGCUUAGAGAGCUUUUCUGCUUGCACAAAUUCAGCAUUCCACAAUGCAGCUGGAUCCUUUGGGAUGCAAGCUUGCACACUAUAAACCCCGACCGAGCAGUUGCCAUCAAAUUCUUCUUUUGCUUCUGCAUAUAAUUUGACAGACAUGAAUUCCAUAAUAUUUCCACUUCCCGGAUGUGUAAUGAUGAGACAAGCUAAGUCUGAAUGUUGACAAAAAGAUGAUGAGACGGACCAAGAAGCUAAGUCUGAAUGUCUGACAAAAAGAUGAUGAGACGGACCAAGAAAAAGCAUGAACAAUUAUCUUAGAUUUCAACAAGCACACCUUAAAAAAUUAAAAAUUAAAAAUUAAAAAACUGAAACCAUUGUUACAUAGCUCAUGAAAGGAUGAAUACGCUCAAAAAUAUAAUAGCUUCCAUACUGUGUCAACCAUAACUCAUGUCCGCGUAAGUCUAUGUAUGUCAUCCUAUUGGGAAUCUAACCCUCCAAACUACUGCUCUCACUCUCUGUCAACAUGUUCUAUUGCAUCUAAUACAACCAGAAAAGACGCCAUUGACUUAAAUCAUCAUAUUCUAUCUAAAAGGAAUAUAAUUGGAUGCUCCCUACCCCUUUUCGAUUUUAGUUGAAAAUAUCACAAGCAAACAUACAUACUUUCUUACAAAUAAAUGUUACCUGCAAGUUUAGGCCCAGAAACAAGCCUUGUAUGGUAGCUCGAAGGAUCGCUCUUCAACCAGCCAGCCAAAACAUACACCAAUUCGAACCCAUUUCCAUGAUUUUCAACAAACUCCUGGAGUAACCUAUACAAAACAACUUUCAAUCACCUGUAAACAAAAAAUGCAACCCGGGAAAUAUUGAAAGACAGUUCCUAUACCUCUUUGCAGCAUUGGAAGACACAAAGUAAUUUCGACUCAGCCACUUGUACGAAACCUAUAGCACAGUUGAGCACCGGAAGAAACUUACUUUAGACAAUAUUAUGAAUUCAUAUGAGGUUAAACACAUCUCAACUCAAAUUCCCACCAAGAAAUUUCGUUUUGUCAACGAAACACAGAAGUAACAAUUCAGUAUCAACGCUUGACUGAGAGCGGUUUCCAAGCUUAUUGCAUUCCUGAACCUAACCCAUCAUUAAAUCCCUAAAAAAUUACAUCUUUUUUAUGAAUACAAAAACCCUUUUAACAAUAAACUAAAGAACAUAAACUCUUUCAGCUUGGUAAUUAAGGCAAGUAAAAGAUUUGUCUCACUACAUAACAAGAAAGCAGUAAAAUUUUGUUCAACCCGUGUUAUUCCUGUGUAAAAUGCUCUAAUGGUAAAUCGUUUAGUUCACACUUCUGGGCAAGAACUCACUCUUGGCUCCUAUCCCCAUUGAAUGGAAGAAGAUUUAACAAAUAACACGUGAUGUAAUUUGAAACUUGUCCCCCCAAAAGGUUUUCUCCUAAAAAACGAAGUUAAAAAAAAAAAACUGUGAGAAUAUAAGUUCAAGCAACACUUUUUCCUCUUCUAUCAUAAAGAAUCAAACGAUGAAAUCCUAAUUCAUUAUCCCGCUCUCCCUCUCUCACCACCUGGGCUAACCGGGGUGUGUGUGUGUGUGACCGAGGCAUAGUUGUGUGACUGAGUGAUACAGCGAAACUAGUUAUAGCCAGUAAACUCACAAGUGCGUAUCAGAGAUGAACCUAAUUCAUGUGAUGAAGCUGCAAUUCUACUGUGUUAUGUUAUGUGACACAAGUAAACACUAAUUAAGUUCGCACAGAAACUUCCAUAACUUCUCUGGAUUCCAAUGUCUAGCUGUAGUGCAGAGUAUCGUGCAAUUCUACUGGCUCCUGUUCCGGGUACACGGAAACAUCUCUCAUGUACCAGGAACUUGGAAAAAAUUCUAACUUGGGAUACAAGCAAUAUUCUUGUUGCAACUUUAUAUAUACACCGGACUGCCGAGUAGUGAUUAUUUAAUAAAUAAUCUGAUACAUAAUCUGGUGACAUGUAAAUUACAAACAGGUUUUACACUCAUGAGAGUGCUAAGGUCCUGUAAAUACAAUGUUUACAUUUCAUUUCCAUUGUCUAUACAGUUUCGACGCAUACGUUUAAUUUACAAAUGAGCGAGUGAAGGUUGCGUAAAGAUGUAAACUUCGUCGAAUCCCCUCCUGCAAUCGGAAAGCGUAGGACAACCAAGUUAAUAAAUCCAUGCAUAAAUCCAAAAUAAUAAUGCAGUUUGAAGUUCAGUUUUUGGUUUACCCAGCCUUCCCACAAAAAGUGGGACUGUAGUUGUAGAUGAGAUUGUCAAGGACUUCCCGGACAGGCGGUCUGUUUAAUGACUUCCUUGCCUCACUGCAUCACAAAUUCAAAAUUAGACUAAGUUUUGGGUCCGCAAUCAUUCCGGUUGAAUAAACUUAAGUGAAUUUUAAAGUUGUAGAUGCAUAUCCUGAAUUCUGAAAUAUGACACCGUGAAAAGUUGUUAAUACAGUAGAACCUCGAUAAUUGAAUAAACAAAUAAUGCGGUUAUCUGAAGACUCUAAACCUUAAAUUUUCCAUUUUUUUUUUCUACCUCUGCCCUCCAGACAAAGUUGAAACGCACAGCGGUUUACUUAGAACUAAAAGACAGAUACAGAAGGAGCCCUAACCUGACCAAGAAGUUUGCAGCGUGCUGGGUCACUUGAAUAGCAUCCUCUGAGUGCGGAAUCAUUGGUAAGCCCCAUUCGAAAGCAUUUUUCUGCAUCUUAAUUAGUUAGUCUUCUCAUACUUGAAACAAAUCCGUCGGAAUAAUCUAAUAAGUCCAGAUUUUCUCAAAGGUCUUUUGCUUUUCCCAAUUCUUCGUUAUGCAAAAUUGUACAGGUUCCACGGUUAUAAUUAUUGAAAAUCUUUCUUAAGAACACAAAUAUAGUAAUAUUGGAAGUGUCUUAAGUAGAACUAAUUAGUGUUUUAUGUGCCAAUCUUUCAUACAAAGAUGGUACGAAGAGCAAACUUUGAUAAUUACACAAUAGUAGCCUCUCCUCCACAAGGUUGUGAAUACAUCUUACGUAGAAAUCCUUGCAGAUGCAUAUUCAAAUAUAAAGAGCCUCGAGAUGGUUCCAUAUCCAAACACUGUUAAUGGUAGCAUUAAAGCAGACGAAAGAAAUAUUGUGGUAAUACCUCUGGAUGCCAUUGGAAGGCAGUCACAGGAUAGUUGUAUGCGUGUGCUGUGGACACAUAGACCUGGCAUUAGUGUUAUUGCAGCAGUUAGAAUCUUCUGGGGAAUAAAAUGAAUUGGGGAACUUGACUAGAGAGAUGUUUCAUAACAUGGUGAAACCACAUAACCAAACGAGAUAGUUACAUUCAGUACCUUAUCAUCUUCAUCAGUACAAGUUGUCAAGAUCUUAAAGAAACUCGACAGAUUCUCGUUCUCCAUAAGCCUCUCUGGUGAGAUACCAUACUGUUGCGUUGAAUCAUUACAAACUUAUGUUAGAAAACCUAAACCAUGCUUUCUAAGCAUAAGCAUAACCAUAUGGAUAAGAGCAGCAGAAAAACAAAAUGCAUGGUACGAGAAGCAUAAAUCAAACAGUAAACAGAAAGAAUGAAACUCAUAAUUACUCAUAAUCCAAGAUAUUCUCAAAACACAGUCAUUUGUCUCAUCAAUCUUGUCGAUGACUCGACAAACUCAGAAUCAUAAUGAAACAAUCUAAACUUCUCAACCGAAGUUAAUUAUAUAUGUUUUGAAGUGGUUUUGCCUUUGCUAAAUGAAAAAACAAACUGAACAAUUAUAAGAUUUGACCAAGUAAAUGGUUUUCGAUUUGAUAAUUCAGGAUCAAACCAUGCAUAAAUGAUAUAUUUGAUAACUAUGUCUAGCUUCAAGGAAGGAGCCUUCAGAUUAGAACUCACUUUAUGGUUUUGCAUUACAAGACAAUCUGUACUCAACUUCUUAAGCAAGUCCGGAGGAAAUCUGCAAAAGUAAAAAAAUUAAUUUAGUGGCUGAAGAAGUUAAAUCACCCUGGAUGUACAGUAACAUAUAAGAAACUUCCAUACAAAUUCAUAGAACAUCAACCCUCCUCCUUAAUAAUUAGAACGAAGGUCAUAAAGAUCAGACAAAGAUGAUGUCUAGCAUGCUCUAUUGACGUCUACUCCGCUUAACCCUACUGAUUAGGCUGAAGUACAUAAAUUUCUCGUGUUCAGUCCUAUUUAAGGGAAUGUUCCUCUUUAAAAUCUGUGAUGAGCAUGCUAGCUGCAGGGAAGCCAACUCGAAUGAUGGUUGGGUUUUUCAUAAAGAUAGAUAUUUAAUUUUAUAAGAAUCAAACAAAAAAAUACAGAAGAUAGAUUAGAAUCCUCCCCCCCCCCAAAAAAAAAAAUUGAGUCAGGAAAACCACAUUCCAAGAUUUAUACCUUUGAAAAACAGUUCCUUCAAUAACGGCGUUCUCGGUAAAUUGUAAAGUUGAGGCCGCAUCUACUGCACUGAAUGACUCCAGAAUUUUCUUGUUCUAGAAGGAAGAAAGAAAGUUGUGUAAAUCAUAAAAUUGGGAAAAUAUAUUAAGAAUGAUGCAUCAAUAAGGAUAAAAAAAAAAAAAAAACUCGACGAGUUAAAAGUAGACUACAACUAAUUGACAUGACUAAGGUGAUUCAGAUUGAAAGGAAUACUGUGACAAUUCUAAUAAAGGAAAUUGAACUGUUAUUGCAUAUUUCAAUGUUGGAUGUCAAGUUGUAAAUGGAUGCACCCUCACUAAAGACUAUUCUUUUCAUAGUCUCAAGUUGUAUGCCCACUAAAGAAACCAAGAAAGGCCAUUCUCAAACGAAGAUACAAGGCACGUGGUAAAAUAGUUUUGAAUUGCAAUUGUCGCCCUAAAAAACAGAUGUGCUGGUUUUGCUUCUUUUAGAAAUUGAAUCAUUUAAAGCGCCAAAAUGUACAAAUUUGAUCAUUUACAGUGGCUACUUAGGCAUUUAUGCAUUCAAAAAGGUGAAAGAAAUGCAAUUUGAAGGAUGAGGCUGAAUUCUUAGGGAAAAACAAUGUACUUUGAGAAGGAUAGUUUACCUUGCUGAUGAUCAUUGCUAGAAGUUCAAAACCUAAGCAGAUGGCGUAUAAUGGAAAAUGAUCUCCACCAUCAUUCUUCUCUAUAAUUUUCUGCAGAAAACAGAUACAAACGUAGCUAAUAAACAUGGAAUGGAACUAUGGACGAAUUCUUGAGAAAAGCAAUGAAACUAAAUUCUUAAGAGAAGCAAUGAAACUAUCCUAAGAGAAUUUACUGGAAAUCUUUAUGAUGCAGAGAGCCCUGAAGCAUCUAAGGUUAGCCAACGAUGACUGUCAUGUUUCUAAAUCUAAUGCAAAAAGAUUGAACUUUGACCUCUAAACCCCUAUUUAGUGGUUAGGCUGACCAUUCUAUCUAACGAGUAUCUAUCAAAUUUUCUUUUGCCUAGUGUUGGCUGGCAAACAGAGAAUGAUCCUUCAUGCUGAUGAUCAUGGGCAAUGACAUGAUAUUGGGAUUGGUAUGAUGUCAAUUUUGACCUCUAAAAACCAAAACCCUAUUAAGAAUCAUGAUUCUUAUGCUGCCAUGUCCCGCCAAUACUAAACUGAUCGAGUAACGAUUUAGAUCAAUUUAAGUUUGAACGAAAGGUUGGAGUUUUUUUUUGUUCAUAAAACUGAGUCCAGAGGAGCAACUAAAGCACAUCAAGGGGUUGAGGCAUGUUCUGCAAUGACCAAUUUUCUAUGUAGAAAGUAGUCUUCUGUUUGUUUAGCAGAAAAUUGACCCCGUAGUAUAUAAAAGUUAGAUUUAAAUGGUCCGCUUGGCAAACCAGGACUAUAAUGUUAGUGUAGAUCAUACACUAAAGGGUUACUAUAUCAAGCACUAAAUUACCUUAAAUAUUCUCUCGGCAACGUCAUAGUACAAACCACUUUUAGCCCAUCCUCCGGUGAAAAGCACGCCAUUGACGAGGUCAAGCUUCUGCAAAGCAGCAUUAUAUAGUGAGCAACAUAACAAAAUCACCGCUACAGGCCGGCUUAGUUUAUAUAUGCACACAUAUUGGAACUUGAAUAAAUGAACAGCCAGUAUUCACACCAGCUUCAAUUUUUUAUUCUUAGCCCCAAAAACAAAAGAAAGCUUCCGAAUUUCGAUUCGAAAGGCCAAUACAAAUACUGGGUCGUUUUUAUAAAUGUGGUUUCUCCAGCUAAAACAAAAGAGCCUAUACAUAUAUCAUAUGCCAAUUUUAAGGCUUUUGAAAAUUUAAGCACUUCUUCCGAGUAAAGUUAACUCAACCCAUGAUGUGCUUCUUUGAAAAGCAGCUUUUACGUAAGCAACACAGAAGCAACUUCUAUAAAAAGCUCGAUUUGUUAUGGAGAUCACCUGGAAAAGUAUAUCGGGAGGCUCGUUGUAGAUGAGAGGAAUAACACGAGCUCCAGCCGAUUCAACGAACUUGACGUAAGAAGCUGCGAUAUACGACGCCGUGGAGGCGUUGCUCAGCCGGCCAGAAGCGCCGUCGCCAGGGUGGCUCAGGAUACCGAUCACCGGCCGGUAGUUGAUCUUGGGGUCGGGGGCCGUACACUUGGACGAGGACGAGUCCGAUGUUCCGAGUUGACUCUGCAAGAGAACCGGCACCUGGGCCUUGGCCAAGCUCAGCUCUUUGGACAAGGAGAUUAGGAAAGCAAUCCAGAGGUAGCUCCACAUCUCUGCCGGUGUCGUUUUUGGUGAGACGGCGGCGGUUUGGACGUCGGAGGAG